Molecule: transfer RNA, 64 nt
Filed under: Zemeros flegyas
Lineage: Eukaryota; Metazoa; Arthropoda; Insecta; Lepidoptera; Riodinidae
Description: tRNA-Ala
Source: RNAcentral
AGGAUUAUAGUUUAUUAAAACAUUUGAUUUGCAGUCAAAAAUUAUUGAAUAUUCAAUUUAUCUU